UAACGCGUAGUCAAUCUAACCUAUGGACGGGGAUAACCUCGGGAAACUGAGAAUAAUACCCGAUAGAUCAUCAUGCCUGGAAUGGCCGAUGGUUGAAAUGAUUUAUCGCCAUAGGAUGGGACUGCGAUCUAUCAGCUUGUUGGUGAGGUAAUGGCCCACCAAGGCUAUAACAGAUACGGGCUCUGAGAGGAGAAGCCCGGAGAUGGGUACUGAGACACGGACCCAGGCCCUAUGGGGCGCAGCAGGCGAGAAAACUUUGCAAUGUGCGAAAGCACGACAAGGUUAAUCCGAGUGGUUCCUGCUAAAGGAACCUUUUGCCGGUCCUAAAAACACCGGUGAAUAAGGGGUGGGCAAGUUCUGGUGUCAGCCGCCGCGGUAAAACCAGCACCUCAAGUGGUCAGGAGGAUUAUUGGGCCUAAAGCAUCCGUAGCCGGCUGUGUAAGUUUUCGGUUAAAUCCAUGCGCUCAACGUAUGGGCUGCCGGGAAUACUGCACAGCUAGGGAGUGGGAGAGGUAGACGGUACUCGGUAGGGAGGGGUAAAAUCCACUGAUCUAUCGAUGACCACCUGUGGCGAAGGCGGUCUACUAGAACACGUCCGAC
This 600-nucleotide ribosomal RNA is filed under the name uncultured crenarchaeote. RNAcentral describes it as "bacterial SSU rRNA". It matches the Rfam family "Archaeal small subunit ribosomal RNA", at positions 94 to 695 of the family's 1478-position model. The record is from RNAcentral. Lineage: Archaea; Thermoproteati; Thermoproteota.